RNAcentral lists this ribosomal RNA (508 nucleotides) under uncultured bacterium. RNAcentral describes it as "bacterial SSU rRNA". It matches the Rfam family "Bacterial small subunit ribosomal RNA", at positions 29 to 514 of the family's 1533-position model. The record is from RNAcentral.
AGCGAACGUUAGCGGCGCGCCUAACACAUGCAAGUCGAACGCGAAAGGUCUUCGGACUGAGUAGAGUGGCGCACGGGUGAGUAACACGUAGGUAAUCUACCCUUUGGCGGGGGAUAACGUUCCGAAAGGAGCGCUAAUACCGCAUAAGACCACGGAGUCUCCGGACGCUGUGGGAAAAGGUGGCCUCUUCUUGAAAGCUACCACCGAAGGAUGAGCCUGCGUCCCAUCAGCUAGUUGGUAAGGUAAUGGCUUACCAAGGCGAAGACGGGUAGCUGGUUUGAGAGAAUGAUCAGCCACACUGGCACUGGAACACGGGCCAGACUCCUACGGGAGGCAGCAGUGAGGAAUAUUGGGCAAUGGGCGAAAGCCUGACCCAGCCACGCCGCGUGAGUGAUGAAGGCCCUCGGGUCGUAAAGCUCUGUGGAGAGGGACGAAAACCCUGGUUUCAAAUAGGCUCCAGGCUUGACGGUACCUCUUUAGCAAGCACCGGCUAACUCUGUGCCAGCAG